Molecule: ribosomal RNA, 496 nt
Filed under: uncultured bacterium
Lineage: Bacteria
Description: partial 16S ribosomal RNA
Rfam family: Bacterial small subunit ribosomal RNA
Source: RNAcentral
GAUGAACGCUGGCGGCGUGCCUAAUACAUGCAAGUCGAGCGAACGGACGAGAAGCUUGCUUUUCUGAUGUUAGCGGCGGACGGGUGAGUAACACGUGGAUAACCUACCUAUAAGACUGGGAUAACUUCGGGAAACCGGAGCUAAUACCGGAUAAUAUUUUGAACCGCAUGGUUCAAAAGUGAAAGACGGUCUUGCUGUCACUUAUAGAUGGAUCCGCGCUGCAUUAGCUAGUUGGUAAGGUAACGGCUUACCAAGGCAACGAUGCAUAGCCGACCUGAGAGGGUGUCGGCCACACUGGAACUGAGACACGGUCCAGACUCCUACGGGAGGCAGCAGUAGGGAAUCUUCCGCAAUGGGCGAAAGCCUGACGGAGCAACGCCGCGUGAGUGAUGAAGGUCUUCGGAUCGUAAAACUCUGUUAUUAGGGAAGAACAUAUGUGUAAGUAACUGUGCACAUCUUGACGGUACCUAAUCAGAAAGCCACGGCUAACUACGUG